CACAUAAGAUAUGUAAGCAUUUUACAUUGCACGAUGAUUGACAAAACAUACCAAUGGGUAUUCCAUUUAAACAUCUGAAAGGAACACUACAGCCUUUACAAAUAAAAGAUAAAAGUGUUUCAUUUGUAAGGCUCUAAUGUUUAAAACCCAUUUAAUUUAUCAGGACCCCUCUAUCUGUCCUAAAAAAUGUAUCUCUAAUCCAGUGGCGAGACAGUCCCUUGCCACAGCUUAUCUAUAGGAAGCAUGGUCUUCCACUUUGUGCCAGGGCACAAAGCAGAUAGGAAAAGCACCCUUCCAGCUGUCUGAAGAACAUGUUUGGGUGUGCAACCAAAACACUUUAUAAAAGUGCCACUUUAUCUGCACUUUUAUAAAUUUGUAAUGAAGGGAUACUCCUAAAGCUAAAGUUCUUUAGCAGUUUGGAGUGUUUCUUUAAAUGCCCAUAUAUAUGAUACAUUUAUACACACACCUUUACAGAGGCUGUGUGAAUUUCAUUGUAUUGUGUUCAUUUAUUCAGCAUCAAUGCAUAGUGGGCAUCUUGUCUAUCUGCCUACAGCCAUAUAUUAUUGUUUACGAUACAUUUUUACACUACACAGAAUGCAUAGAAUUAAGUAUUUGCACUUACAUUGAUGAAAAUUAAUGGAUUUUGGAAAUAGUUUGCCUAGUUUUUAUCAUAUUUCAUAUUAUAAAUAUGUCUGGAUUUAAAUUAAUGUUUACAACAUUUUCGUUAACAAAACCCUAAAAUUAGUUGAGUCCUUGAUUUAUGAUUUACUGGACCUCGGGUAGACUGUGAAUUCAAAUUAGUUUGGGGAGUGUAUACAUAAGCUCUUAUCUUAUUUUUGUUAAUGGAACACAAUGUUAAAAAGUACACAACCGUGUAAAUUGUGCAACCAACACUGCUUAAGAGAGGUCUGAUAACUAUUUUGUCAAACUAUUGGUGGGCUUACACGUUCCAUCGUUCAUUAAUAUCCUUUCAGUGACUUGAAGAAACACAAGAUUGCUGUGAGGACCCCAUUUUGAGAAUUAUAAAAUUCAGCUGCUGUAUUAGCAGACAAAUGGGACCAGUGUUUGUAAGAUUAUUUUAACACAUAUCACUUGAUUCCUCACCACAGUCAAGGUUUAUUGAUUCAUAUUUUAGGGUUUAAAAUAAAGUUUCCAUAAGUACAUAGUUGUAACUUCUGCUGUGUAAAAUAAAAUGUUUACAAGCCAGCUAACGGCAGAUAGGAAGUAGACCUUUUUUCCUUUUUCUUUUUUUUUUUCUCGCUAAAGACAAGCUAGGUAAAAUGAUCUUGUAUUUAUUAUUUGUUUGAGAUCUAUGUUUUUUUUUUAACCUGUUAUUUAAAAAAAUAUAUACUCACGAUUUUUUUCCUUCCAGAAAAUAAUCACAUUAUAAAAGUAGCCUACUCCAAUAUAACAUAUUAUAGUGCCAUAUUCAGUUUAAUACAUAAUUGAAUUUAAAACAUGAAUAACACUUUAUACAUCAGUAGUACAAUGCUGACAUCAUGUGGUCAUGUUGACUUGUGAUGUAUGUUCCCUGAGGAAAUUCUACUUUUUGUUUAGAAAUGUAACCUUCUACAGCUUUUAACCCACCUUGUGUUUUUAAAAUGUUAAUGUCUACAGAAUUAUUUUCAGUAAAUAGAAAAACACUAAUAUGUAUUUAUUGGUUUUGGAGAGAUAUUUUUUUUUUUUUUUUUUUUACUUUCUACUUGCAACUCCUUUUGACUGCAGUGAUCGUUUAGACCUCAGUCGCAGGCUUGGUUGCUACCAGAAUCUACAUAGUCCUUUAUCCUUCCAACAAAUAUAAGUACCUUUUGGGUAAAAGUCAGAACUAUUACACAGCUGAAUAUUGUGUGCUUUGAGUUUCUGUAAAGGGUAACAAGGUGCUAUAUAUAAGUAGUUUUCAGAUGAUUUCCGAAGAUCACAAACACACACUACUUUGUUAUAGUAUUUUAUUUAUUUUUUUAUUUUAAAAAAAAUUAACAUUAUUCAGCAAUUGUUAAAGUCUGAAUACUGAGCAUUUGGCCAGUUGUUCCAUCAUGAGUGAGAUACAUGGACAUCUCAAUUUAUAUGUGCCGGAUUCAUAUUAUGAAAUACUGUAUUACAUACAACCAUGAAGUGCUUACAAUACAUUCUUGAUAUAUCAUGGUCAUAUUUCAUAGUGGGAGCCUUAAUAAAAAAAAGUUAAUGAACACUGCCUGUAAGCUUCAUUUCAGGUUCAAUUCUAGCCCUGCCAUUGUCCCCUCACACCUUCAAGUACAUGCCAAUACGUCUUUUAUUAAAACCUCUUUGCCUAUGCUGCUUAUUUAUAAUCUACUGUACUUGGUUAUUCAAUUCCUACUCCACCUGUUAUCUUUCCAAUUGUCUGUUACAUUAAUUUCAAUGUGUAAUACAAUCUUCAUUGUUAACCUCAAAAUGUUGUAUGUAAAGAGAUUGUUUUGACUUGUUAUGUGCAGUUGUCUCUAUAUUUAUUGACCAAUAGAAUGAUAUGGGGAGUAAGUCAUUUUUAUUUGAGUGCUAAAAGGAAAGGGAAUUUUGUAUUGUGUGGGCAUAACACUAAAAGGUCCCUCCCAUUGUUUUCUUUUUCGUUUUUUUUUUUUCGUGGUGCUUUAGAAUAAAAGUCAGGGUCUGCAUUUAUCAAGACUCAUUUUAACACAUGCACAAUAUAUAAAUGUGUGUUGUUCUUGGUACAUUUGUGUAACUUAUGUUGGUCAGCUUUACCACUUCUGGGCGAUGAUUGGCAGACAUUUUGUUUGUGUAUUCCAUGCAGCUGUGUUUAGGGGGGGGAAAAAAACAAAAUAUAAGUAUCCCACCAUAUUCAUGAUCUGUCCUUCAGAAAACCAAACCAACAAAUAAUUAUUUGACUUGUAAGAUAAAGAAAGGCUGCUUUAUUUUCAACAUAUUUUGCUUAAUAUUACCUUUAGUCAUUAUUGUAGUUUGUAGAAAAAUUUUAUGAUAAUUGUGCUAAAAAAAACCUCUUAAAUUUGUUGCCAUACUUUUUUGUACCGAUGUAAAAUAUUUUCUUCUCAAGGAAUACUGCAUAUUUUUUUUUUAUAUAUAUCUAUAUCAUUUCCCCUGACCCCCAAGACCAGCAUUGCAGUGUUUUAAUGUGUUUUGUUUGGUUUUUGUUUGGUCUGUUUUUAAUGAUUACUAAAAGUAUUCCAUGGCAAUGCAGGGCAUUUUUAUGUUACAGCUGUAUUUAUAACUUCUGCCUGUAGUCCUGUGCUGGAACUUUGUCAAGUGUUGCUGGGCAAUGCAUUGUCGCCCCUUCCAGUCUACAGCAGUGAAGUGUAACACUUUCUUUUAACAACACACUUCAAUCACAGAUCUGUCUCUUGUCAUAAAUAAAUCUAAUAUUUGAUUGUCAUUUGGGUACUUCUGCUAAGCCUUAUUAUCAUACUAGUCAGAGGUUAAGGGGCCAAGCAUAGUCAGCACACAGUAUGUAUGUAAGUAGCAAAGACACACACCCCCUUCCUUUUUCUACCAAAGAAGCUGUUAAUAUACUACAAGCUUAGUAGUGCUUUAAUUUGACCAGAAGAGGGAGCCAUUGAGUUCUCUGACAGUGCUGUAAUUCUGAUUUAGCAUUUUAUUCUUGCUUAAAUUGCAACCCGACUAAAAUGACACUAAGUAUCACAAGCAUUUUUGUUACAACAAUAAUAAAAACAAAACAGUAUUUUAUUUAGAAUUCAGGGAUCAUGCUUUUUUUUUUAUGGUGCUUUUUUUUGUUGUUGUUCUUAAAAUGUUUUGCCUAUGAAAAUAACUGCCCACAGUGCUAUCACUCAUAUAUGAGUCCCGUGUGCUCUCCUCUGCCUCAUUCUACAUAAAGAAAAUAAUGGGCUUCUACAAAAAAAAAUAUUCAGAAGAAAAUAAAGAAAUGAGAACAUAA
This is a non-coding RNA of Pelobates cultripes (western spadefoot toad), 3880 nucleotides long. Lineage: Eukaryota; Metazoa; Chordata; Amphibia; Anura; Pelobatidae. The record is from the annotation of a GenBank genome assembly.